Molecule: ribosomal RNA, 598 nt
Filed under: uncultured bacterium
Lineage: Bacteria
Description: bacterial SSU rRNA
Rfam family: Bacterial small subunit ribosomal RNA
Source: RNAcentral
UACUCCUACGGGAGGCAGCAGUGGGGAAUUUUACGCAAUGGGCGAAAGCCUGACGUAGCGACACCGCGUGAGCGAAGAAGCCCCUUGGGGUGUAAAGCUCUGUCAGCUGGAACGAAAAAAAUGACGGUACCAGCAGAGGAAGCAUCGGCUAACUACGUGCCAGCAGCCGCGGUAAGACGUAGGAUGCAAGCGUUGUCCGGAUUUAUUGGGCGUAAAGAGUUCGUAGGUGGUUUGUUAAGUUUGGUGUUAAAGAUUGGGGCUCAACCCUGAAACUGCACUGAAUACUGGCAGACUCGAGUGUGGUAGAGGCUAGUGGAAUUCCCAGUGUAGCGGUGAAAUGCGUAGAUAUUGGGAAGAACACCGGUGGCGUAGGCGACUAGCUGGGCCAUAACUGACACUGAGGAACGAAAGCCAGGGGAGCGAAUGGGAUUAGAUACCCCAGUAGUCCUGGCCGUAAACGAUGGAUACUAGGCGUAUCGGGUAUCGACCCCUGAUGUGCCGCAGCUAACGCGAUAAGUAUCCCGCCUGAGUAGUACGGCCGCAAGGUUGAAACUCACAGGAAUUGACGGGGGCCCGCACAAGCGGUGGAGCAUGUGGA